UGCAUGUCUAAGUACAAACCGAAUAAAUGGUGAAACCGCGAAUGGCUCAUUAAAUCAGUCGUAAUCUACAGGAUAUCGAUCCCACCUCGUUGGAUAACUGUGGUAAUUCUAGAGCUAAUACAUGCAACGAAGCCCCGGUCCUCGCUUCGGCGACGGGAAGGGCGCAUUUAUUAGACCCAAAAACCGAUCAAAGCAAGACGAUGCGUCGUCGAGCGGUAACGGGGACUCCGAAUAACUCUGCCGAGCGCUUUGGCCUUCGUGGCCGGCGCCGUAUCCUUCGAGCGUCUGCCUUAUCAGCUCUAUCGUAAGGUAUUGGCUUACGACGGCUGUAACGGGUAACGGGGAAUCAGGGUUCGAUUCCGGAGAGGGAGCCUGAGAAACGGCUACCACAUCUAAGGAAGGCAGCAGGCGCGCAAAUUACCCAAUCCCGGCACGGGGAGGUAGUGACGAAAAAUACCGGUGCGGGUCUCCGACGAGGCCUCGCCAUCGGAUUGAGUUUAAACUAAAACCUUGGACGAGUGUCCAUUGGAGGGCAAGUCUGGUGCCAGCAGCCGCGGUAAUUCCAGCUCCGAUAGCGUAUAUUAAAGUUGCUGCGGUUAAAAAGCUCGUAGCUGGACUUUGCGUCCGGCCUGACGGCCCGCCGUGGGAUGUUGGAACGUCGAUUUCGCUGUCUAUCUUUGUCGAAACAGCCGCCGCCGUAGCUCGUUGUCCGUACGCCAUGUGGGCGGCCGGGCCAUGUCGACUCGUGUGGCGUGCAUCGCGUUUUGGCUCUGACGCAGCGGAGCGCGCCCUUCUCCCCGCCGGCGGAUAACCUAGUCAGACCCGGUUCGCCGAAAGUCGCCGUGCAGCGAGGGGUGUCUUGUCUGAUGCGUCCCUAGCGUGCGGCAAUUUCACUUUGAAUAAAUAAGAGUGCUCAAAGCGGGCGCGAAAGUUUAACGCCAAAACGAAAGUGCAUUGAACGAAAAAAUAAGACCUCGACCCCGCCGUUGUUUCGAUCGGUUUCAGGGGGCCGAGGUAACGAUAAAGAGAAGCGGCCGAAGGCACACGUACUGCGUGGCGAGAGGUGAAAUUCGUUGACCCACGCAUGACGAACUGAGGCGAAAGCGUCUGCCGAGUACGUUUUCAUUAGUCAAGAACGAAAGUCAGAGGAUCGAAGGCGAUCAGAUACCGCCCUAGUUCUGACCGUAAACUUUGCUACCUGACGAUCCGUCGGCGUCGUACCAUUGACUCGACGGGAAGUCCCCGGGAAACCUAAGGUUUCGAGCUCCGGGGGAAGUAUGGUUGCAAAGGUGAAACUUAAAGUAAUUGACGGAAGGGCACCACCAGGAGUGGAGCCUGCGGCUUAAUUCGACUCAACACGGGUAACCUUACCAGGACCGGACGCUAAAAGGAUUGACAGAUUGAGAGCUUUUUCUCGAUUAAACGGUAGGUGGUGCAUGGCCGUUUCAAGUUGGUGGUGCGAAUUGUCUGGUUGAUUCCGGUAACGAGCGAGACUCUGCCUUGCUAAUUAGUCGACGAAUCGGCUCUGUUGGACGCGAUCGGACCGCUAUGGGUGUGUUCGUAUCGGGGGAGGUUCGAUGUGAGAUAUCUGUGGAUGUAGUCGCGCGUCGGGCGUUACGGGCGUCGUCGUCRACAUCGGGCGUAAGGUGUGGCGCGUAGAGGCGGGGUUGGUGGCGGGCGGUGGUGGUGAGCGUUGCGAAAAUUUUUCGCUCGUCCCCUCGUCGUCAUUGCUUUGUCUUUGCGUGCAUGCGCUCUAUGCGUCAAUGUCAUGGCGGCGGCGCCACGUCGAUUGCGGCUUCAUUUCACCGCUCCAUCGUUUCCGCCCGGGGAUGCUGGCCGUACGAUCACCGAUCCGUCCAGGAGCGUUCGCCGCAAUACAGUCUUCUYAGAGGAAUCGGCGGCGUUUAGCCGCACGAAAAAGAGCCAAAACAGGUCUGUGAUGCCCUAAGAUGUUCCGGGCCGCACGCGCGCUACAAUGGUAGGUUCAACGUGCUUCGCCCCCYUCCGGAAGGAGAGGGUAAUCACCGUAAGGCCAUGAGACUUCGGUAGGGAUUGGGGCUUGGAAAUAUCCCCCACGAACGAGGAAUUCCCAGUAGUCGCGAGUC
RNAcentral lists this ribosomal RNA (2105 nucleotides) under Leptostylis longimana. RNAcentral describes it as "SSU rRNA". Lineage: Eukaryota; Metazoa; Arthropoda; Malacostraca; Cumacea; Diastylidae. The record is from RNAcentral.